Molecule: non-coding RNA, 74 nt
Organism: Picea glauca (white spruce)
Lineage: Eukaryota; Viridiplantae; Streptophyta; Pinopsida; Pinales; Pinaceae
Source: Rfam
GUGGACGUAGCCAAGUGGACCAAGGUAGUGGAUUGCGAAUCCACCACACCUGGGUUCAAUUCCCCCUCGUUCAC